GACGAACGCUGGCGGCGUGCUUAACACAUGCAAGUCGAACGGAAAGGCCCUGCUUUUGUGGGGUGCUCGAGUGGCGAACGGGUGAGUAACACGUGAGUAACCUGCCCUUGACUUUGGGAUAACUUCAGGAAACUGGGGCUAAUACCGGAUAGGAGCUCCCGCUGCAUGGUGGGGGUUGGAAAGUUUCGGCUGUUGGGGAUGGACUCGCGGCUUAUCAGCUUGUUGGUGGGGUAGUGGCUUACCAAGGCUUUGACGGGUAGCCGGCCUGAGAGGGUGACCGGCCACAUUGGGACUGAGAUACGGCGCAGACUCCUACGGGAGGCAGAAGUGGGGAAUAUUGCACAAUGGGCGGAAGCCUGAUGCAGCAACGCCGCGUGCGGGAUGACGGCCUUCGGGUUGUAAACCGCUUUCGCCUGUGACGAAGCGUGAGUGACGGUAAUGGGUAAAGAAGCACCGGCUAACUACGUG
Molecule: ribosomal RNA, 468 nt
Filed under: uncultured bacterium
Lineage: Bacteria
Description: partial 16S ribosomal RNA
Rfam family: Bacterial small subunit ribosomal RNA
Source: RNAcentral